GGAAGUAAAAAGUCGUAACAAGGUCUCCGUUGGUGAACCAGCGGAGGGAUCAUUACCGAGUUUACAACUCCCAAACCCAAUGUGAACCAUACCAAACUGUUGCCUCGGCGGGGUCACGCCCCGGGUGCGUCGCAGCCCCGGAACCAGGCGCCCGCCGGAGGGACCAACCAAACUCUUUCUGUAGUCCCCUCGCGGACGCUAUUUUUACAGCUCUGAGCAAAAAUUCAAAAUGAAUCAAAACUUUCAACAACAGAUCUCUUGGUUCUG
This 267-nucleotide unclassified non-coding RNA is filed under the name plant metagenome. RNAcentral's name for it is "partial contains small subunit ribosomal RNA, internal transcribed spacer 1, and 5.8S ribosomal RNA". The stretch from base 1 to 55 matches the Rfam family "Eukaryotic small subunit ribosomal RNA", at positions 1778 to 1831 of the family's 1831-position model. The record is from RNAcentral.